RNAcentral lists this unclassified non-coding RNA (232 nucleotides) under Hevea brasiliensis (rubber tree). Lineage: Eukaryota; Viridiplantae; Streptophyta; Magnoliopsida; Malpighiales; Euphorbiaceae. The record is from RNAcentral.
GGUGGAAUGCAGUUUGUGGACUGGGCUAGAUGGAGUGGGGUUCAAUAAUGGUGCGUCUUCAUGUUUGCUUCAAGCUGUCAUGUUGGGAUAUUGUUAAAAUUGUAGUACCAUCAAACGAAAAACAUUAAACAUCCAUUUGUAGUAGAAUGCCAAGUGCUGGAAAAGCCUGUUGUUUUAUGUGGGAACGCUUUUUUCUUUUUUUUACAUGAAAAAGCUUUCAUUUAUACAAGGG